This 420-nucleotide ribosomal RNA is filed under the name uncultured bacterium. RNAcentral describes it as "bacterial SSU rRNA". It matches the Rfam family "Bacterial small subunit ribosomal RNA", at positions 356 to 773 of the family's 1533-position model. The record is from RNAcentral.
GGGGAAUAUUGGACAAUGGGGGCAACCCUGAUCCAGCCAUGCCGCGUGAAGGAUUAAGGUCCUCUGGAUUGUAAACUUCUUUUAUAAGGGACGAAAAAAGGUCUUUCUAGAUCGUCUGACGGUACCUUAUGAAUAAGCACCGGCUAACUCCGUGCCAGCAGCCGCGGUAAUACGGAGGGUGCAAGCGUUAUCCGGAUUCACUGGGUUUAAAGGGUGCGUAGGCGGGCAGGUAAGUCAGUGGUGAAAUCCUAGAGCUCAACUCUAGAACUGCCAUUGAUACUAUCUGUCUUGAAUAUUGUGGAGGUAAGCGGAAUAUGUCAUGUAGCGGUGAAAUGCUUAGAUAUGACAUAGAACACCUAUUGCGAAGGCAGCUUACUACGCAUAUAUUGACGCUGAGGCACGAAAGCGUGGGGAUCAAAC